Long non-coding RNA from Helianthus annuus (common sunflower), 258 nucleotides. RefSeq lists it as uncharacterized. Lineage: Eukaryota; Viridiplantae; Streptophyta; Magnoliopsida; Asterales; Asteraceae. The transcript has 2 exons. The record is from RefSeq and is a predicted model, not a curated record.
UGUAAGCAACAAAAGGGUGGAUGGGAAUGCGGCUACAUGGUUCUCCAACAUAUGUUUGACUUUGUCAAUUUGUAUCAAAACCAAUUUCCCGAUGAAAUGUGGCACGACACCAGAGAGGCUACGGAUAAUGAAAUAGAUGUUUUGUUGAUGACGUUGAUGCCGAAGUUUUUUAGCGAGUUAGGUAUUCCGUUAGUUUCGCUUAUGUGUAGUUUGUUAUGUAUUCACAAAUGAUUGUAAUUUGACGGGUUUAUUUCUGAA